UACACCACACCCAUCUAUAAUUGCUCUCUUUCUCCCAAAGACUUGGAUGCAAACAAAAUUUUGCUUAUUGUAUAGCCCAACAAAAUUAAUGUGAAAUGUCAAGUCUAACGGAUGCAAUAAAUUACAUCGAAGGUAAUUCAAUCUCCCGUUCUUUUUUUUUUUUUUUCUUAGCAUAUUUGUUUUGAUUUUUUUAAACAGUUGUUAGAAAUAAUUACGUAUUGUUGUAUCCGUAUAUUACACAAAUUUAACAAGGUAUCUUUGAUGAUUUGUUGCAUGAAACAUUUUUGUAACUGUAAUGCAUUAAUUUGAGGCUUGAUUAUUGAAUAACCAAGACUUUCUCGGUAGCAGUUUGAUUGAUUAUUUGUUGCGUGGAAUAUAAUAAAACUUAAUGACGUAAAAUAAGAUAUUUUUGUAUGUACAACAAGUUAUACGUACAAUAAGUGGACAAAUAAAAAGUAUUUUUAUUCUAUCAAUUAACGCUUUUAGUUAAUAGUAUGUGCUGUUGGUAUGUAUCAUCACAUCAAUUAAUCAAGUAUUUAGGAGACUUACGGCAUAAAGGAGAUAGAAAUGCAAAUACAAAUAAUUAGAUAAAAGUAAAAAUAUUGUAAUCGUGGUACAUUGAAAUUUGAAAAUAUCUUUGCAUAAGGUCUUUACAUAGAAAAACGUAAGCCUUUAAUGUAAGGGUUCAAACUAUUUUCCAUGUACAUAUUUAGUUAGUAUCGUUUUUUUUUUUUAUCAAAUCAUACUUCCUUAAAAUGAUUAUUUUUAUACAAAAUAGUCACUCUAGCCGGCUAUUAUUUGUUUAACCUGUUAUCAUGACCACUCCAACGAGUCGGUGGUCAUCUUCAAACGUUGUUCUUAAAAAAAACUUUAAUGUAUGAGUUAAAAAAAAAAAAAAAAAAAGCAAAAGGAAUUCAUGACAUGAGAAUUCGAUGAUGAUGGUGGGGGUGCAUUAGAUAUGUUCAGUUGGUCUCAACAUGUUUCGGUAGUUCCAUCGGUAAUGAAGAUCCAUGAACCAUAUCACUCCAUGAUGGUGGGGUGUCAGAGAUCAAUUUCCUUAAUCAUUUCAUGGGAGAAGUGGAGAACCUCUUCUUUAUCCUUGCGAUUCCUCGUAUGCUUUAAAGUUUAAUCCAUCAUUGUUUUCUUGAAGGACAACCGGAAAAUGGUCCAACACCAACAACACCUUAAUUAAUUAAUUUCUUCUUUUUCCACACGCCUUCAACAAUUAAUGGUCCAACACCACCAUCACCUAGCUUAAUCUUCCAUCUUCACUCACCUACACACACUAAUGUCGUGGAGAGGGCACAAAGGUUACUAUUUCAGUACAUGAAAAGGAUGGGUCGGGCUUGAAGGGUCAAGCUAUCUUGAUUGGCAUCUCUGGUAUUCAUUAGUUUGUGUUCCCCACUUACAAAGCUUUGAAAACAAAGAUGUCUUCUUGAAACCCAGAACAUAAGAAAAAGAAACAAUAACCAGCUGGUUAGAUGGGAUAUUGCUUUGGCCGGAAGAAAACCUAUUCAUGAAAUGUUGACUCCCUUUUGUUUUCCAAAUGCUAGAAGAAAACCCAGAUCGGCGGAUUCACCAGAAAAUGGAAAGCUAAUGAGCAGCUUGUUUCCACGUGUUGCCACCUAUGCGCCACGUCAGCUUCACACCCAUCCUACCACCAACCCACUAAACCUUGGAGAUGGUUACCACUACACAAAUUCCUUUUUUUUAUUAUUUUUUAUUUUUUAACAAUAUUUUAAAUAAAAAACAAAUUACAAACCAUAAUUAAUAUAAAAAACACAAAUUAAAAAACAAAAACACACGUUACAUUAAAAUUAAAAACACAUUACAUUAAUAUAAAAAACACAAACUAAAAUUCUUAAAUUCUUAAAAAAAACAUAAAAAAAUUAAAAUCCUAAAUUACUUAAAACCAUAAAUAAAAUCCUAAAUUUCUUAAAACCAUUAAGAUUAGAACCUAAAGUUCAUAUUUUUCUCGGACUUGUCGUUGAAUUUUAAGAAAUGUCGUAAGAUUUUCCGGGUCGAGAUCCGGUUGGGGCUUUGUGUUUAAGAUUUGAAGAUAGGUAAGAGCUAUUUUUUGGCAGUUAGCGGCCUCCGACGAUUCGUAUUUUUUUUCUAGAAAAACUAGAGCUUUAUCUAUGGAUGUCGCAAGCUCGCUGUCGCUAGUUGCCGGUGCUUUUCCGCUUGAAGACGCUCCUUUUCUCGCUUUGUCUCGUCCCGGUGGUCGACGAAGUUGGACGUUCGGUGGGCCCUCCCCCUCAGUGGCAUCGAAGUCAUCGUUGAGGUCGAGUCCAAAACCCACGUCCGACUCGGACGUUCUUGCCCUUUUGUUGGAACCGGUUGUAGAUCCCGAAUGCGCCAUUUCCGGAUAUAGAACCCAUUUUGGACCGUUACGACAAACUUCACACGCUUUUUAGUGGCCGAACGGUUUACCGUUGGUGGUAACUUUGUAUUCGUAGGACGCGGUCGCUAAAUAGUUGAAGUCGUUGCUACCACUUCUAUGCAUAUUUUUAAGCUUGUCAAUUAUGUCAUUGAAUUUGGUGCAAGCUGCUCGUAAGUCACGCCAUUUUGCGUUGAUCGAGUCGUACGUCCGCUCCGUUUUCUUUCCUAAUAACGCAUGGAAAUGAUCUAGAAUACGACACCAAAAACUUUGACCCGAUUGUGCGUUGGCGACAUCCCCGUCUUGGGAUAUGAAAAUCCAAGCUUUUACUAAAGCUUCAUUCUCGUCUUCGUUCCAUGCGUUAGUCUUUUUUUUUCUUGGAUCUUUGGUUUUUUUUGCCUUCGACGAGUUGGUUGUUGUGUUUCUUGGACUCGUUCGUCGUCGUCGUCAUUGUCAAGAUUUAUAGGUUGAGAUUGAGAUGGUUAAAAUUGUUGAGAAGGUUGUUGAAAUUGUUGGGAAGGUUGUUGUUGAAAGGCUUAGAAUUGAGGUUGAUUGAAUUGUUGUGGUUAUUGUUGAUAGAAAGUUUGUGGGUAUGAAGUGGUGAAUAAAGUUUGUUGUUGGAUUGGAGAGGUUAGCAAUUGUAUGUAACUAACAUUUGCAUUUGGAGUGUUGGGGUGUUUGGAUUUGAAUCCAUGUUGAGAGAAAAAAAAAAUGAGAGAUGAGGUUUUUUUGUAGAAGGUAAUAAAAUAUAGAUAGUGUUUUUUGAAAUGUAAAAUGUAAGUAGAAUAGUGGAUAAUUUAUAGGUGUAAAUAUUUGUGUUUAAAUGGUAAAAAGUAAUUUUUUUUUAUGUUAGAAACGGCUAUAUAGCCGUUAGUUUACAAGUUCCGACCGUUACAAAUUAAACGAAUUGUGAUUGGGCGUCCACGUGCGUCUUUGGCACCACGUCACAUGCACCCCACCGACUUUGGGGGCGGUGUUCACGCGUGGGAGAGGUUGUCACCUCAGCCCAAGACGCAUGAAACUACCCCGAUACUGGAUAGCCUUGGUCACUCGAGUUGUGAAUUUAGGGUCCCGUCAUCUCACCACCAAUUCACUAUGAUUAUCACUUAAAAAAAUUUAUUUUAUUUCUUUUAUGAUUAAAUUAAUUGAAACCAUAUUAGUCAACAAUUAAAGUUACAUUAAUCGAAAC
This 3569-nucleotide long non-coding RNA is filed under the name Lactuca sativa (garden lettuce). Its description in RNAcentral is "long non-coding RNA (LSAT_LNC005789)". The record is from RNAcentral. Lineage: Eukaryota; Viridiplantae; Streptophyta; Magnoliopsida; Asterales; Asteraceae.